GCCCCGGUAGCGCAGUAGGCAGCGUCAGUCUCCAUAAUCAUCACAGCGAGUAACUGAAGGUCGUGAGUUCGAUCCUACCCGGGCA
Non-coding RNA from Araneus ventricosus, 85 nucleotides. NCBI's taxonomy places the organism in Eukaryota, Metazoa, Arthropoda, Arachnida, Araneae, Araneidae. The record is from the annotation of a GenBank genome assembly.